GAUGAACGCUGGCGGCGUGCCUAAUACAUGCAAGUCGAGCGAACGGACGAGAAGCUUGCUUCUCUGAUGUUAGCGGCGGACGGGUGAGUAACACGUGGAUAACCUACCUAUAAGACUGGGAUAACUUCGGGAAACCGGAGCUAAUACCGGAUAAUAUUUUGAACCGCAUGGUUCAAAAGUGAAAGACGGUCUUGCUGUCACUUAUAGAUGGAUCCGCGCUGCAUUAGCUACUUGGUAAGGUAAAGGCUUACCAAGGCAACGAUGCAUAGCCGACCUAGGAGGGUGAUCGGCCACACUGGAACUGAGACACGGUCCAGACUCCUACGGGAGGCAGCAGUAGGGAAUCUUCCGCAAUGGGCGAAAGCCUGACGGAGCAACGCCGCGUGAGUGAUGAAGGUCUUCGGAUCGUAAAACUCUGUUAUUAGGGAAGAACAUAUGUGUAAGUAACUGUGCACAUCUUGACGGUACCUAAUCAGAAAGCCACGGCUAACUACGU
Molecule: ribosomal RNA, 496 nt
Filed under: uncultured bacterium
Lineage: Bacteria
Description: partial 16S ribosomal RNA
Rfam family: Bacterial small subunit ribosomal RNA
Source: RNAcentral